Molecule: ribosomal RNA, 440 nt
Filed under: uncultured bacterium
Lineage: Bacteria
Description: partial 16S ribosomal RNA
Rfam family: Bacterial small subunit ribosomal RNA
Source: RNAcentral
CCUACGGGUGGCUGCAGUGGGGAAUAUUGCACAAUGGGGGAAACCCUGAUGCAGCGACGCCGCGUGAGUGAAGAAGUAUCUCGGUAUGUAAAGCUCUAUCAGCAGGGAAGCAAAUGACGGUACCUGACUAAGAAGCCCCGUCUGACUACGUGCCAGCAGACGCGGUAAUACGUAAGGGGCAAGCGUUAUCCGGAUUUACUGGGUGUAAAGGGGGCGUAGACGGCGCUGCAAGUCCGGAGUGAAAGCCCAGGGCUGAACCAUGGUACUGCGUUGGAAACUGUGGAGCUUGAGUGCGGGCGGGGCAGACGGAAUUCCUAGGGUAGCGGUGAAAUGCGUAGAUAUUAGGAGGAACACCGGCGGCGAAGGCGGUGUGCUGGACCGUAACUGACGUUGAGGCUCGAAAGUGUGGGGAGCAAACAGGAUUAGAUACCCCAGUAGUC